GUCACCAGUCGCUCAGUGGUUAGAGCAUCCGAAUGGAUAACGGAGGGGCGUGGGUUCAAAUCCCAUCUGGGACU
Molecule: transfer RNA, 74 nt
Filed under: Acropora cervicornis
Lineage: Eukaryota; Metazoa; Cnidaria; Anthozoa; Scleractinia; Acroporidae
Description: tRNA-Ser
Rfam family: tRNA (bases 5-70)
About the family: Transfer RNA (tRNA) molecules are approximately 80 nucleotides in length. Their secondary structure includes four short double-helical elements and three loops (D, anti-codon, and T loops).
Source: RNAcentral